GACGAACGCUGGCGGCGUGCUUAACACAUGCAAGUCGAACGAAAAGACCCUGCGUUUGUGCGUUUCUCGUGUGGCGAGCGGGGGAGUAACACAUGAGUAUCAUGCCCUUGACUGUCGGGUAACUUCAGGAGACUGGGGAUAAUACAGCAGAUAAGCUCCUGCUGCAUGGUGGGGGUUGGAAAGUGUCGGCGGUGGGGGAUGUACUCGCGGCUUAUCCGCUUGUUGGUGGGGUAGUGGCUUACCAAGGCUGUGACGGGUAGCCGGCCUGAGAGGGUGACCGGGCACAAUGGUACUGAGGGACGGAGCAGACGCCUACGUGAGGCAGCAGGCGGGAAUCUGGCACAACGGGCGGACGCCUGAGGCAGCAACGCCGCGUGCGGGAUGCUGGCUUUCGGGUGGUAAACCGAUUUCGCCUGUGAUGUAGCGGGCGUGACGGUACUGGGUAAAGAAGCAACGGCUAACUACGUG
RNAcentral lists this ribosomal RNA (468 nucleotides) under uncultured bacterium. RNAcentral describes it as "partial 16S ribosomal RNA". It matches the Rfam family "Bacterial small subunit ribosomal RNA", at positions 28 to 507 of the family's 1533-position model. The record is from RNAcentral.